UACUGUUAGUGAUGAUUUUAAAAUUAAAAGCAGAUGGGAAUCUCUCUGAGAAAGAAAAUGGGAGAUUAAUCCUUAACCUGAAACAGUA
This 88-nucleotide small nucleolar RNA is filed under the name Homo sapiens (human). Its description in RNAcentral is "Small nucleolar RNA SNORD79". It matches the Rfam family "Small nucleolar RNA SNORD79". Rfam says of the family: snoRNA U79 or Z22 is found in intron 7 of the gas5 gene in humans and is also present in mice. The record is from Rfam by way of RNAcentral. Lineage: Eukaryota; Metazoa; Chordata; Mammalia; Primates; Hominidae.